RNAcentral lists this ribosomal RNA (253 nucleotides) under uncultured bacterium. RNAcentral describes it as "partial 16S ribosomal RNA". It matches the Rfam family "Bacterial small subunit ribosomal RNA", at positions 524 to 776 of the family's 1533-position model. The record is from RNAcentral.
CACGUAGGGCGCAAGCGUUGUCCGGAAUUAUUGGGCGUAAAGAGCUCGUAGGCGGUCUGUUACGUCUGCUGUGAAAACCCUGGGCUUAACCCUGGGCUUGCAGUGGAUACGGGCAGACUAGAGGCAGGUAGGGGAGAAUGGAAUUCCCGGUGUAGCGGUGAAAUGCGCAGAUAUCGGGAGGAACUCCGGUGGCGAAGGCGGCGUGCUGGACCUUUUCUGACGCUGAGGCGCGAAAGCCAGGGGAGCGAACGGG